AUUAGUUUAAUAAUAGUUAGUUUAAUUAUAUUGUAAUAGUUUAAGUAAGUGUGAUUUUCAAUGUGGUCUCAGAGUUUUGAACCCCACUGUACAAUUUUCUCUUUUCGUUUGAACCCAAGGUCUCUUCUCCGUGGCUCCCGUAAAAUGAAAGUGUGGUUUUUCUCUGGUUCUGUGCAGCAGAGGAUGCCCUGUGGAUCGAUCAGUGGCCUUCCAUCAGGUGGCUGCUAAUGAAUGAGAUGAGAGUGGGAGGGUGAGUCUAGUGAAGUAUUGCUCUCUUCAGCAGAGUUCUUGUCUCCGGGUCUGACAGCAUCCUCCCCCCGGCCGCUUCACCACUAUCUGUCCAGUCACUAUCAAUUACUAAGCUCUGAAACAUCCUGCACCCUGUACACCUUCCACGGCGAGUGUGAAUGCACAUGUCGGGGCCUUGACCUGCUAUGUGUGUGCGUGCCGCAUGUCAGGAAACGAGAGGACAAAGAUGUUGGAGCUCUGGUACAGUGGUCAACCCAUGCAGGAGACCGGCACAGAAAUGGGGAUGGAAAGAAUGGGAUUCGGUAUAUGCUGAUGAAGAGGAAUUCAAGAUUGAUGAUGAUGAAUCAUGAUGAGUCACUGUAAAAAGUCAGAGACUAGUGCAAUGUGGUGAUAAUAACAACAGCUGUGGUCAUGAAAUGAUUCAGACAUCUGCUCCCCAUUGAAUAUUUUGUUUAUUCUCAUAAUGAGGCAACAGCUUAUUUAGCAUGUUUUAUUAUUACUGAACUAAUCAAUGCAGGGGACUACAGAGUGUGUCCUGGGUCAUGUUCAUCCAGUGUGGCUUACUACGUCAGCCUGGAAAGUUUUGAAAGGUUUGUCCAUUCAUCGAGUCAAGCUUAACAUUUGAUGAGCCUUUGGGCUGCUUUUCACUCCUUUUCAUUUGCUGUGUUUUCAGAACACAGGUUCAUUCCAUGUUAUCUUCAACAUUUUCUGGCUGACCAGUUGGACCAGAUGGUCCUUGAUUGCAUAGCAGUACAAUGCCAGCACUGACUUUGGGAUCAGUCUUAAAGGAAUAUUUUGUGCAAAA
This is a long non-coding RNA of Cyprinus carpio (common carp), 1054 nucleotides long. RefSeq lists it as uncharacterized. NCBI's taxonomy places the organism in Eukaryota, Metazoa, Chordata, Actinopteri, Cypriniformes, Cyprinidae. The record is from RefSeq and is a predicted model, not a curated record.